Molecule: ribosomal RNA, 301 nt
Filed under: uncultured bacterium
Lineage: Bacteria
Description: partial 16S ribosomal RNA
Rfam family: Bacterial small subunit ribosomal RNA
Source: RNAcentral
CAGUCGCCGCGGUAAUACGGAGGGAGCUAGCGUUGUUCGGAUUCAUUGGGCGUAAAGGGUGCGUAGGUGGCUUGGUAAGUUGAAGGUGAAAUCUCGGGGCUUAACCCCGAAACUGCCUUCAAUACUGCUAGGCUCGAGGACUGUAGAGGAGAAUGGAAUUCACGGUGUAGCAGUGAAAUGCGUAGAUAUCGUGAGGAAGACCAGUGGCGAAGGCGAUUCUCUGGGCAGUUCCUGACACUGAGGCACGAAGGCCAGGGGAGCAAACGGGAUUAGAUACCCCUGUAGUCCCUGUCUCUUAUAC